GACGAACCGUGCGAACGUUGUUCGGAAUCACUGGGCUUAAAGGGUGCGUAGGCGGGUUGUCCAGUCUGGGGUGAAAUCCCACGGCUCAACCGUUGAAUUGCCUCAGAUCCUGACGACCUCGAGGGAGGUAGGGGCGAGCGGAACUGUGGGUGGAGCGGUGAAAUGCGUUGAUAUCCACAGGAACUCCGGUGGCGAAGGCGGCUCGCUUGACCUCUUCUGACGCUGAGGCACGAAAGCUAGGGGAGCAAACGGG
Molecule: ribosomal RNA, 253 nt
Filed under: uncultured bacterium
Lineage: Bacteria
Description: partial 16S ribosomal RNA
Rfam family: Bacterial small subunit ribosomal RNA
Source: RNAcentral